RNAcentral lists this unclassified non-coding RNA (2149 nucleotides) under Zea mays. Its description in RNAcentral is "misc RNA Zm00001eb049050". Lineage: Eukaryota; Viridiplantae; Streptophyta; Magnoliopsida; Poales; Poaceae. The record is from RNAcentral.
ACAGCAGGGUGGCCGUGGCAGCGGCGGCGAUGGACGCGUCCUCGGCCGCGUGCUUCCGCCGGUGGAAGAUAUGGCCCCACCCCAGGCUGAUCAGGCUCUUCUUCCCUUUGCUCUCCGGCACCGUGGCCAGCGUCGUCGUCGUCGCCGCCUGCUUGAGCGGCGACCCGCUGCGCCGACCCGGCGAGAGCGCCCACUGCGUGUUGCUCGACCCGAGCAAGCGGACGGAACCCGUGCGGGGGAGCAACGGAGACCGCGGCUUGGACGCCGUCCUCGGCGUGGUGGUGGAGCCCCUGGAGGCGUCGCUGCACUCCGACCCGGAGCUGGCGACGUCGGCGGCGGCGUCCAGGGAAACGGCCAUGUUGCCGAGCCUGCGGAGGUCCGACGGCGCGACGCGGCCCGGGGUGAGCGUCACGCCCGCGGGCCUGGUGGACGGGAGGAAGCGCAUGGAGCGGCCGAACGCGUGCCCGGCGCCCUUCCCUGAUGCCUGCUUCCCGAUCUUCCUGGCCUCCGCGUCCGCGUCGGCGAAGCGCGGGACCUCGGUGCAGCUGCGCUGCCGGGAGAGAGAACGUGGCGAGUCGUCUUUGACGAGGUGGUCCGCGAGGGUGGCCACGGACGGCGACGGCGGCGGAGGUGGCGCGGAGGACAAGGGAGACGGCGGGCGCGGGGCCUUGCUCUUGCCGCUCUUGUUGCCGGUGGACGAGGAAGGCCAGAGCGUGCGAGCGAUCGAGACGGCCACGGGGGAUGUUGUGGCGCCGGGUUCCGGUCGGGAGACUGAGCGCCGGGCGCUCUGGCGGACUGGCGAGAGCGCGGAGGCGGGUAGGGGCGACCGCCCAGGCAGCUCCGCCGUGCCGGAGGCGGACGUCCACCGCUUCGACGACGACAUGAUGGCACCAGCGCGAUGGUCAGGCCAGGUAGAGCUCGGCACGCCAGGUGUGCUUUGGAUAAGCAACGACAUAUAUGAUGCUCUCGCGUUGGACGUGGGCAUCGGCACUCUGGCCGUUUGGCGUAGCAACGGCCGGCCGGCCGCUAGCGAUCCAGAGCGAGGCCGGCCGGCGUCCGAGAGGAGAACGAGUCAGCUGCGUGUUCCGCCGUGCAGGACAGCGGACGACGCCGUCGCCCCGUGAUGAGAGACAAAUGGAAGAGCAUCCUUGAUGGCUCGGCGACACUACGCACGGAGACGGGAGACGUCGACACCAGAAUCGAAGCAACAAGCGAACAGGUGAUCUGACGACUCACAGAAAGGGAAACAAAUCAUAUUCCAUUCAACAAAUUCGAUUGAUAUAUGCGAUGCGUGUGUAUCUUUGCUUCAGCUUGAUAUAUAGAAACUUACAUCUCUAGUUUUUUCCAUCCAUAAAAAAUUCUCCAUCUGUGCGUGUGCGGGCGGGUGAGCGCGGGGACGAACCACGUGUUCUGGGACCUCGUCCAUCCGACGGAGGCCACGUCGCGGAAGCUCACGGCCAUUGCCUUCGACGGCUCCCCGCGCCAUUGGUUUCACCCAUGGAUGUGAGGAAGCUGUGUGGCUAGCUUGCAAGCCAGGAGCGUUGGCGUACCAUUGUCUACUAUACUACUGUUAAGAGCAUCUUCAACAACUCACCAAUAAUUCAUCUUCAAUGACUUUCAGGCUUGGUUCCAGAAACCAUUAUCUAAGGAGGUAGGGGCGACUUUGGAAGCCCUGUUCAACAUUCAUAUGCCGGACACCGAACACGUUGACAAGGCACUGAUGGGAAUUGCAGGUGAAGCUAUAGAAGAAAUACAUGAUGAGAUGGAUAAUCUGCAAGCGGAAGCAAGGAGCAAUGCUGCAGCACGUCUGGUGGCUGUCUGGUUCCUUGCCAGCCUGUCCGGGUGUAUUUUGGUUUUAGAUGAUGUACUGCAACUCAGUUUUAGUCCCUUUUGCAAUCGGCUGCGCUGAGCUGCUGGUUGUGGGUUUUAUUUUGGUCGAGAUGUUGUACUGCAUCUUAGUUUCAGCUUCAAUUACGAACAACUCCGGAUAUGUUGCGCUGCUGCUAGCUUCCAGCCUUGUUGUAGAAUACUAUUCCAAGGCAAUGAUGGCCCUUAUUAAUUUAACAACUGUUAAUUGUGUGCUGCUAUCAGUCUGGGGUUCAUCUAUGAAUUAUGUCAGAUUUUAGCAUCCUCUCUUGGAAUGUUAGGG